GAAGCUUCCUGGUGACUGUGUAAACUGGAAAGAAAUGAUACAGUGUGGAUCCAGCUACUUCACUGAAGCUGUAAAGGAAGAACGGCACGUGAAUAGCAGAAAAUGAGUUAGAAAUACUGAUUAAUGGCAAUUUCCUAGGAAGGCAAGGGGCUUAAGCAUGCUGAAGGCCCUUCUACCUAAAGCUGCCUGUGUUCACCACACCAAAGUCCCACCCCAACCCAAGUGGUGGCCUGUGAGUGCCAAGUCUCAGGAAAUUAUUUUCCUUUGGUUUUUGUUUUACUGCAAAAGCUAGACCUGAAUGAAUAUACUCCCAUCACCUGUCUGUGCCA
Molecule: long non-coding RNA, 329 nt
Organism: Pipra filicauda (Wire-tailed manakin)
Lineage: Eukaryota; Metazoa; Chordata; Aves; Passeriformes; Pipridae
Exons: 2
Source: RefSeq, a predicted model, not a curated record